This is a long non-coding RNA of Phlebotomus papatasi, 5142 nucleotides long. RefSeq lists it as uncharacterized. Lineage: Eukaryota; Metazoa; Arthropoda; Insecta; Diptera; Psychodidae. The record is from RefSeq and is a predicted model, not a curated record. The transcript has 2 exons.
AUUCGCUGAAGGUCCUCUUACUUUAUGGUGAUUCUUUAUAAUUGAUCACUUCUUGUGGAUUUUACAAUGACUUUGAUACCCAAAUCUCUCGAUAAAUCGGAUGACAUUUUGCCCCAAAUACCAAUUAAGAGAGAGACUACUGUACGUACAGUAGACUCUUCGAUAUCCAGCACUUCGAUAUCCGGGUGACAGCUGCCAAACACUGGCGGUUGAUAUAUUCAAAAUUAUUUUCACUAAACAUGAAGUUUGUCCAGAGUGAAUUAAAGUAUUAUUAACAUUGUAUCGAAGUUUUUAAUACAUAAUUGUGAUAAAAAAUGAAACAUAAGCACACCAUGAAGAAAAUUCUCUUUUUCUUUGUCAGACAGAAAAUAAAUUCACAGUGCACAAAAUAGAAAAACCGUUGAUCAUUCAAAAAACCUAAAUGUCAUUUUGUCCCCCAGUCAGCCGGAUAUCGAAGAGUCUACUGUAUCAUUAAAACUAUUCUUCUUCUUCUUCUUCUUCCAUUUUAUGUUAGGCUGUCGGACUCACUUGUAUCCAUACAGCCAAAUUUUAAAACUGUUCCAGUGAAAGAGAGAGAUGAUUAGAUUGUCUGCACUCACUAUUAUUGACAUGUCAAAAAAUAUUUAUAAAACAAUUAUUAUUGUGCGCUAGGCAUAAUGACCAGCGCAUAAUAUGUAGCUUUUGUUUGUAAAGAUAUUUUCAAAAUUUCCCAUGAGAAUGAGCGAGAUGGCUAGAUCUAGAUCUCACUUAUUCCCAUUGUAAUGUCAAAAACAUGCUUACUAAAUAAAAGUUAUUGUGCGUUGGGCAUAAGCCAUCAACUCAAUAUAUUUAGGGCGAAAAAGCGUGAUUUGCAGCAAUUAAUCUGCAAUUUUAAAGCACUUUUAUAAAAGAAGGGUCUGACAUUAAGAAAAUAAUUGAUGGUAAUUAUAAUUUGUACAAAUUGUCGAGAAAUAGAAGAGUUCAAAAGUAAUUUCCAACCCUCGGAAUAAUAAUAAUGAGUGGUCCAAAAACAAAGUUUCUUCUUUGUUCUUUUUCUUUUCUUUUAAAAUAAUAAUUUCAAUAUAAUUUGCUAUAUAUAUGUAACUUCAAUCUAUUUUCUUUUCACGAGUUUAAAAAAAUGACCCAGAUUUUUUAUGAAACUAAAACGGAUUUUCUCAUUGCCAUUCUAAAUCAUUAACGAAAAUGAACACUUGACUUUUAUUUCGGUCGGAAUUCUUUUAUUUCGAAAUAGAGAUUUCGAAUUAGAAUACUCUCGUUUAAAUGGAUUCUAAAAAUUUAUUCAGUAUAAGACAAUAAACUUAGCUAGUGCUGAAAUGACGAUGUAUUUUUUUUUAAAUGCUAUUAAUUUUGAAGCUCGAGAACCUUCUCUUCAUUUUUUAAAUAAUGAAAACUCUGAGUUUAGUUUUUAAUUAACCUCUAACAACUCAUCAAAUAAGAACCUUUAAUUUUGACACUAAACAAAACAUUAAACUUUAACCUUUUGGCAAAUUAAAGGUGAACCAAGCUAAAUAAUUACUCUUGAACAAAAACUUUUGUCAAAUUAACCAAGAAAAGGUUUGUCAAAAGGACGUCCUUCCAAAGUAAGAAAAAGUUUUGUCAAAUUGGUAAAAAACAUCCUUUAGGCAAAAUUUUAACAAGAACCGUUUGACCAACUUUUCAGACUAGAGAUUUAAAUUUAAAGCUUCCUAGUAGUAAUUGUUUUUCUGUAAUUCAAAUCGGAAUAUUUCUCAUAACCUUUAUUGAAAUAAAUCCUAAAAAUAUAUUCUCCAACAAGUUGUAAAAAAUACAUAAAUAAAAAGAAAACUUUUACCUUAUUAGUAUUUUUCUUACGUUUAAUUGUAAUUUUAGAAAUAAAAUCUUUGUGAGCAUAUGACAUAUAUUAUUGUAAUCUUAGUGAUAAUAAAAAUGAAUAAAAAUUCUAUGAAUAUGAGAAACAUAAAAAUGUCUAAAGGUUUUUUUCAUAAUUCAUAUUCUGCUCUACAAAGUUCUUUUUAUGUCUCCCACGUAAUUGAAAAAUAAUAAAAACAUGCCUUAGAAUUGCAAAAAUAAUGCAGUAAAAAAAAUAUAAAAUUUUGUAAUGUGUAAUACUUGAAAGUUCUAUUGUCCAUAAAAAUUCUAACAAAUUUUAAGAUUCUUUAAUUAAAAAUUGCGUAUGGAAUACCACUCAUUCAAUUCUCGAGCUCUUGUGAUUUCUAAACUACUCUGAAAAAGUUUUGUCAAAUUAACAAAACAAGUUUGUCAAAAGGAUGUUCUUCCAUACAGAAUAUAGAAAAGUUUUGUCAAACCGGUGGCCAACUGGAUUUUCUUAAAAAAUUCUUAAAAUGGUGUUUUCCAUAUAAAAUGCGAGAAAAGUUUUGUAAAAUUGGUAAAUAACAUUCUUUUGACAAAAUUUGAACAAUAUCCAUUUGUUCGUUUAAUAUAACUGCUUUUCAGAGUACCCUGAAAAAAGUUUUGUUAAGCAGACAAAUAGGUUUUGUUAAAAUCUUGUCAAAAGGAUGCUGUUUACCAAUUUGACAAACCUUACAUUUUAUAUGGAAAAACAUCCUUUUGACAAACUUUGAACAAUAUCCAGUUGGUCAAUGAUUUGACAAAACUUUUCCACAUCUUUUUGACAAACUUUUCUUGUUAAUUUGACAAAACUUUAUUUUCAAAGUGUAUUUCGAUCGAGAUGUUAUUUAGAUUUUAGAUAAAUCAGAAUUAAAAAAAAUCGUUCUUUGAAUUGAUGGCGAAUUUUCCAUUUCAAUUUAGAAGCAAAAAACAUACGCGCGAGUAAAAAAGCUUUAUUCGACAAUCAAUGCAAAGCACAAUAAAAAAAAUUAAUGCAGCUUGAUCAUAAAUAGACUUUUUAUUGCAUUCGAGAACAUUAAAUAGCAAUAGUUUCACUUUUAUACUUAUCGAAAUGGAUUACCGAGAAUUGAUUUUUAAAUCAUUCGUAAUUAUCUGAAUACAUUUAUUUUAUGAAAAUCCACCGAAAAAUCCCACAUAAAGGGGAUAAAAUUAAUUUAUUUAAAUUAUUCAAAUUAAUACACAUUGGGGCUUCAUUCUCUAAUUUUGCUAAUAGAUUUAAACAUUUUAAAAUUCAAUGCAUUUUCUUAGCAAAAGGAGAUUUCUAAAAUCUUCUGAAAUGAACUGAAUUAAAUUUUAAAUCUCCUCUUUUUUAUAAAAUGAAGAAAUCAGACAAAUUCUAUUUUUUAAGGUUAUGAGCGGCAUAACCUUUAACUGUAAUUUAAUAUUUUAAUUUGGAAAAGAAACCGAAGAAACCUCAGAGAAAAAAAAAUACCUAAUUAUUUUCUUAUUUUAAAAGAUUUUGUUUUAAAAUGUGAUUUUUAUUAUCUAACCUCAAAUUUACAUGAAAAUUUGCAAUCUAACCUCUGAAAAAUGAACCUAAUUACAGUAGAGACUCCCCCUAAUUCUACUCUUUAUCGAACUACUUUCUAAUUCGGGUAGCAGUUAAAUUUGAAAAAAGUUUAUCAACAUUUUUCGAGUUUUCGAAUGAAGCAAAAUAUGCUUAAAUUUUAGUUAUGAUAUGAUUUUGCAGGGUUUUCAUGAAAUUUACAAUAAAUAUGAGAAUGUACAGUAGAGUCUCGAUAUAGUCCAUAUUUGGUUUCAAAUUUGACACUUGGGUCGCACUAAUAGUCCAUGUAAUUUUUUUAAAAUUAUCAACGAUUUUUAGUAUUGAAAUUGCUCGACGGCUUCCACUUUCUUUGCGAUUGUGCUAUUUGUCCUCGCUCUCAUCAUUAUGGAUUACAAUUAUCACAACUACUUAAUAAAGUUUGCCAAAAAUAUUAAAAUAAUUAUGCAUGUCGCAUACUAAAAAACAUAACCUAACUUAAAAUUAGUGUUUUGAAAUCAACGGUCGAUAACUUGUGGACUAUAGAGCGAUGGUCUAUAGCGAGACUCUACUGUAAAAUAAAUAUGAAAUUGAAGUUGUACUGCUAAUAAUAAUGUUUCAAUAAGAUUAAUAAAUGGCUCGAUCUUACUGAACUGAAAGGCAUAAUUCGAAAACUCUUGGUUCUGUUAAGCGUUACGUUAAAAUAUUCAAGACAUUUUUUGUGUUAUAAUUAUAAGGGUUGUAGGGUACUAAUCUGUUGUCCAGAGGGAUUUUUGAUAUUUUUAAGGAUUUUUGUCAAUUUUUGCAAAUAAGAUUGCAGAUUUAUUGCAAAAAAUGCAUGUUUCAUUGAUUUUCGCCACUUCCUUUGAGGUUAGGUCAAAUAUAACCCUUUAAAUUCAGGAAUACAGUAGAGUCUUCUAAAUUCGAACGCUCGGAGGGUAUUUUUGACAUUUCUCACCUCCCAAUCCGAACGAUUUUUUCAAAACUAACGAAAUUUAUGUGAAAUUAAAUUGCGUUUUGAAUCAAAUUCUCAUACUUUUUAACAAGUCUAAAUAUAAAUAAAUAUGAUUUUCAUUCAUCCAGAAUACGAAUUUUUUAACAUAACCCCACAAUUGGCAUUUUGAAUCCAAACGUCGUUCGAAUUUGAGAGAUUCAGAUUUGAGAGAUUCUACUCUAUGUCUACCGAAAGAGAAAAUUAGGCUCAUUGAUUGAUAAUGUGUUUUAGGUUAAAAAUAACCGCAAACAAAAGAAUAAUUAUGUUUCUAUUUUCUAUUUUCAGGUCACAAAAAUGUUCCUAUGAAUUGAACUGGACUCUUUAUUGAGAAAUCUCCAAGAAAGAUGUUUCAAAAAUGUUUCUAUGUGUUCUACAAUUGGGGAUUCUUUGAUGGAGACUCUCCUCUGAGAAAGUAAUCUUUUAGAAAGCUUUCCUGGAUUUUAAACCAAAAAAAUGGAAAGGUGCGACCGGGCGAAUGUCUUCAACGGCCGUCCAAAGUAUUAAAUUUUUGGAAACUGACUGGUCGGUGGGACUUUCGUCCGUUUGAACCACCAUGGUGCACCGGCAAAAAAGCCCAGUGUGUUCCCCUGGUCGGCGUCUGUCUCGUGAUAAGAGAGAUUGCAUAAUGGGACACAGUGUGACCCUCACGAGUGAUAAUUGCCUUUUUCGCCAACUUUUUUUUCUCUCUCUCAACAGCCCUCAAUUUUGCCGAGGAAGCCACCGGAGAUUGUGUCGCUGCCACAGAGCCAGAGAAUUCCGCAAUAUUUGCAUUUGUAGUGGAUUUAGAGAAUGAUAAUAAAAUUUACACUGAUAACAA